Mycena leptocephala is the source of this 93-nucleotide non-coding RNA. NCBI's taxonomy places the organism in Eukaryota, Fungi, Basidiomycota, Agaricomycetes, Agaricales, Mycenaceae. The record is from the annotation of a GenBank genome assembly.
GGCCCGGUAGCAUGCGGUAUGCGUCUGCCAUUGAUGAUGCGAUGAUAUUUAGCCGUAUAAGCAGUUAACCCGGUUCGACUCCGGGCUGGGCCA